Long non-coding RNA from Oncorhynchus keta (chum salmon), 715 nucleotides. RefSeq lists it as uncharacterized. NCBI's taxonomy places the organism in Eukaryota, Metazoa, Chordata, Actinopteri, Salmoniformes, Salmonidae. The record is from RefSeq and is a predicted model, not a curated record. The transcript has 2 exons.
CGACCCCCUACCUGAAGAGACUACAAGAAAGUGACGCCGGGCAGACUCAACCACCCCAGCCUUUCACCAUUGAGGCCAUCUAGGGUUUAAACAAUACAUUUGACGAACAAGCUAUUUAGCUGAAUGGCUUUGAUGAGAGGAUUCAUGAAAAUACCCUCUCGAUUGCAAACGUUUCCAGAACUACAGAGUUUAAUGCAUCAGGCAUUAAGAAUAUUACCACUGAUGUGAAACUGUUGAAAAAUAAAGUUGAUGCCCUGACAAAAGAGAACGAGGAGCUGGACAGUGCUGGACAAGACCGAUACAACCGCCGAUGGGGCUAGGAUCUGAACCGGCUCCCUGAAACUGAUGUAACUGACAGUUAGACUUACAGGUUAUGUCGUUGUCUUUUGUUUGAAUUGUUUAUGUGUCCGCUGUGCGGGGGAAAUGAUAAUACAAGCGGAACUACGUAGCUAAUACUGUUGUAACGGGGAUCCUUAUUGUAGCAACACACCUUUGGAGGGAAGGCAAUCCUGCGCUGCGUUAGCUAAGUUUUCAUGUCAUCGGGUGUAGUUCAUAAUGGUUGAAGAGUGUAUGUUAGGAUGAAGUGUGAAUUCAUGCCAGGAAUAAUAAGUGUGAAGUUUAAUUUCCUCCCUUCUGUAAUAAGCAGCCAAUGAGUUCUCACGGAAGGUGAUAAUUCUGACUAAAACUACAGAAUAAAGCCGCCAGUUAAAAUCAA